CUGCUGCCUCCCGUAGGAGUUUGGGCCGUGUCUCAGUCCCAAUGUGGCCGAUCACCCUCUCAGGUCGGCUAUGUAUCAUCGCCUUGGUGAGCCUUUACCUCACCAACUAGCUAAUACAACGCGGGAUCAUCUUUGAGUGAUGCAAUUGCAUCUUUCAAACUUAAAACUUGUGUUUAAAGUUUUUAUGCGGUAUUAGCAUUCGUUUCCAAAUGUUGUCCCCCGCUCAAAGGCAGAUUCCCCACGCGUUACUCACCCG
RNAcentral lists this ribosomal RNA (256 nucleotides) under uncultured bacterium. RNAcentral describes it as "partial 16S ribosomal RNA". The record is from RNAcentral.